CUGCUGCCUCCCGUAGGAGUCUGGGCCGUGUCUCAGUCCCAGUGUGGCUGGUCGUCCUCUCAGACCAGCUACUGAUCGUUGCUUUGGUGAGCCGUUACCUCACCAACAGGCUAAUCAGUCAUCGGCCGCUCCGCUCGCGAGAGGCCCUUGCGGGUCCCCCUCUUUCUUCCGUAGAACUCAUGCGGUAUUAGCCAACCUUUCGGCUGGUUGUCCCCCACGAGCGGACACGUUCCGAUGUAUUACUCACCCGUUCG
RNAcentral lists this ribosomal RNA (254 nucleotides) under uncultured bacterium. RNAcentral's name for it is "partial 16S ribosomal RNA". The record is from RNAcentral.